RNAcentral lists this long non-coding RNA (446 nucleotides) under Mus musculus (house mouse). RNAcentral's name for it is "long non-coding RNA chr2:140227930-140228376". The record is from RNAcentral. Lineage: Eukaryota; Metazoa; Chordata; Mammalia; Rodentia; Muridae.
AUGCUGCUUGGCAAGGUCACUUUGCACAACAACAGACAGGAUAUCCAGUGCAGGUGUUUGAGUAGGUGAAUCAGAUUGCUAUAAGGGCGCGGAAAUCAUUGCGUAUCAGAGGGGAAGCUAGUGAAAACUUGACUCUCAUAUUGACUUCCCAGAUGGACACACAGGUGAUUGAGGUUAUGGUCUCAUUACCACGAGGUAUUGUGUCCAUCUCCCCUGGGGAUCGACAAGAUCAGGUGUUGACGUGGGCGAGAGGGUCUGUUUGUGUGUUUCCACAGGACCAGAUGGAACCUCUUUGGGUGCCGGAGAGGUUGGUGAGAUGCUGCAAGAAUGAGGAUCCUGAUCCAGUUGCCCCUGUGGAUGUGGUGGAUGGUCCCACAGGCACAAAGGAUGGAGCCGAGAUGGGAGAUCCUUUCAGUGUUCCAGAAGCCGAUACCAGCUCGACAUGA